This 55-nucleotide transfer RNA is filed under the name Anolis barahonae. RNAcentral's name for it is "tRNA-Cys". The record is from RNAcentral. Lineage: Eukaryota; Metazoa; Chordata; Lepidosauria; Squamata; Anolidae.
AGUCUCGAAGUGUUCCACAUCAAAAUGCAAAUUUGAAAAAGAGCCCAAAAGGGCU